AAACCAACAGGGAUUGCCUUAGUAGCGGCGAGUGAAGCGGCAAAAGCUCAAAUUUGAAAUCUGGCUCUUUCAGAGUCCGAGUUGUAAUUUGAAGAAGGUAUCUUUGGGUCUGGCUCUUGUCUAUGUUUCUUGGAACAGAACGUCACAGAGGGUGAGAAUCCCGUGCGAUGAGAUGAUCCAGGCCUAUGUAAAGUUCCUUCGAAGAGUCGAGUUGUUUGGGAAUGCAGCUCUAAGUGGGUGGUAAAUUCCAUCUAAAGCUAAAUAUUGGCGAGAGACCGAUAGCGAACAAGUACAGUGAUGGAAAGAUGAAAAGAACUUUGAAAAGAGAGUGAAAAAGUACGUGAAAUUGUUGAAAGGGAAGGGCUUGAGAUCAGACUUGGUAUUUUGUAUGUUACUUCUUCGGGGGUGGCCUCUACAGUUUAUCGGGCCAGCAUCAGUUUGGGCGGUAGGAGAAUUGCGUUGGAAUGUGGCACGGCUUCGGUUGUGUGUUAUAGCCUUCGUCGAUACUGCCAGCCUAGACUGAGGACUGCGGUUUAUACCUAGGAUGUUGGCAUAAUGAUCUUAAGUCGCCCGUCUUGAACCACGGACCA
This 590-nucleotide ribosomal RNA is filed under the name Candida tropicalis. RNAcentral describes it as "partial large subunit ribosomal RNA". It matches the Rfam family "Eukaryotic large subunit ribosomal RNA", at positions 62 to 668 of the family's 3401-position model. Lineage: Eukaryota; Fungi; Ascomycota; Pichiomycetes; Serinales; Debaryomycetaceae. The record is from RNAcentral.